AGCUACAUCCAUACACAACUAAACCCACCGCAUCCCAUUCGAUCUGCGCAGGUAAACAGUUGAUGGCAUAGUCAGUGUGAGGUGAUGAGGGUU
This 93-nucleotide ribosomal RNA is filed under the name Linnemannia elongata AG-77. The record is from RNAcentral. Lineage: Eukaryota; Fungi; Mortierellomycota; Mortierellomycetes; Mortierellales; Mortierellaceae.